Molecule: microRNA precursor, 49 nt
Filed under: Bombyx mori (domestic silkworm)
Lineage: Eukaryota; Metazoa; Arthropoda; Insecta; Lepidoptera; Bombycidae
Description: mir-2774 microRNA precursor family
Rfam family: mir-2774 microRNA precursor family
Source: Rfam by way of RNAcentral
ACAACAUUCGGACCGUCGGUCUACCGGUGGAAGAUCUUCUUUUUGUCGU